UGGAGAUCAUCACUGUAUCCAUGGAUCUUCCUCACUCUUCCUAUAUUGAGAGAAAUGUGAAGGAGAAGAUCAUGGUGUUCAAACUGAAAGUUCAUGAAAUGGAAAAUUGAAAGCAUCACAAGCUUACCUCAAGUGUGAGGACUUCAGAAAACCACACAAACACAAGAAUGCUACAUUGAAAUGAGAGUUCUAGAUCCAAAAAGUUUGAAUGUAUACCUCUGAAUUGAAGCACUUCAG
RNAcentral lists this long non-coding RNA (237 nucleotides) under Lathyrus oleraceus (garden pea). RNAcentral describes it as "Pisum sativum (pea) long non-coding RNA (PSAT_LNC026691)". The record is from RNAcentral. Lineage: Eukaryota; Viridiplantae; Streptophyta; Magnoliopsida; Fabales; Fabaceae.